This 2900-nucleotide ribosomal RNA is filed under the name Klebsiella pneumoniae. Its description in RNAcentral is "bacterial LSU rRNA". It matches the Rfam family "Bacterial large subunit ribosomal RNA". Lineage: Bacteria; Pseudomonadati; Pseudomonadota; Gammaproteobacteria; Enterobacterales; Enterobacteriaceae. The record is from RNAcentral.
UUAAGCGACUAAGCGUACACGGUGGAUGCCCUGGCAGUCAGAGGCGAUGAAGGACGUGCUAAUCUGCGAAAAGCGUCGGUAAGGUGAUAUGAACCGUUACAGCCGGCGAUGUCCGAAUGGGGAAACCCAGUGCAAUUCGUUGCACUAUCGUUAACUGAAUACAUAGGUUAACGAGGCGAACCGGGGGAACUGAAACAUCUAAGUACCCCGAGGAAAAGAAAUCAACCGAGAUUCCCCCAGUAGCGGCGAGCGAACGGGGAGCAGCCCAGAGUCUGAAUCAGCUUGUGUGUUAGUGGAACGGUCUGGAAAGUCCGACGGUACAGGGUGAUAGUCCCGUACACCAAAAUGCACAGGCUGUGAACUCGAAGAGUAGGGCGGGACACGUGGUAUCCUGUCUGAAUAUGGGGGGACCAUCCUCCAAGGCUAAAUACUCCUGACUGACCGAUAGUGAACCAGUACCGUGAGGGAAAGGCGAAAAGAACCCCGGCGAGGGGAGUGAAAAAGAACCUGAAACCGUGUACGUACAAGCAGUGGGAGCACCUUCGGGUGUGACUGCGUACCUUUUGUAUAAUGGGUCAGCGACUUAUAUUCUGUAGCAAGGUUAACCGUAUAGGGGAGCCGCAGGGAAACCGAGUCUUAACUGGGCGUUAAGUUGCAGGGUAUAGACCCGAAACCCGGUGAUCUAGCCAUGGGCAGGUUGAAGGUUGGGUAACACUAACUGGAGGACCGAACCGACUAAUGUUGAAAAAUUAGCGGAUGACUUGUGGCUGGGGGUGAAAGGCCAAUCAAACCGGGAGAUAGCUGGUUCUCCCCGAAAGCUAUUUAGGUAGCGCCUCGUGAACUCAUCUUCGGGGGUAGAGCACUGUUUCGGCUAGGGGGUCAUCCCGACUUACCAACCCGAUGCAAACUACGAAUACCGAAGAAUGUUAUCACGGGAGACACACGGCGGGUGCUAACGUCCGUCGUGAAGAGGGAAACAACCCAGACCGCCAGCUAAGGUCCCAAAGUCAUGGUUAAGUGGGAAACGAUGUGGGAAGGCACAGACAGCCAGGAUGUUGGCUUAGAAGCAGCCAUCAUUUAAAGAAAGCGUAAUAGCUCACUGGUCGAGUCGGCCUGCGCGGAAGAUGUAACGGGGCUAAACCAUGCACCGAAGCUGCGGCAGCGACACUAUGUGUUGUUGGGUAGGGGAGCGUUCUGUAAGCCUGCGAAGGUGACCUGUGAGGCAUGCUGGAGGUAUCAGAAGUGCGAAUGCUGACAUAAGUAACGAUAAAGCGGGUGAAAAGCCCGCUCGCCGGAAGACCAAGGGUUCCUGUCCAACGUUAAUCGGGGCAGGGUGAGUCGACCCCUAAGGCGAGGCCGAAAGGCGUAGUCGAUGGGAAACAGGUUAAUAUUCCUGUACUUGGUGUUACUGCGAAGGGGGGACGGAGAAGGCUAUGUUAGCCGGGCGACGGUUGUCCCGGUUUAAGCAUGUAGGCUGGUUAUCCAGGCAAAUCCGGAUAAUCAAGGCUGAGGUGUGAUGACGAGGCACUACGGUGCUGAAGUAACAAAUGCCCUGCUUCCAGGAAAAGCCUCUAAGCAUCAGGUAACAUCAAAUCGUACCCCAAACCGACACAGGUGGUCAGGUAGAGAAUACCAAGGCGCUUGAGAGAACUCGGGUGAAGGAACUAGGCAAAAUGGUGCCGUAACUUCGGGAGAAGGCACGCUGGUGUGUAGGUGAAGUCCCUGCGGAUGGAGCUGAGACCAGUCGAAGAUACCAGCUGGCUGCAACUGUUUAUUAAAAACACAGCACUGUGCAAACACGAAAGUGGACGUAUACGGUGUGACGCCUGCCCGGUGCCGGAAGGUUAAUUGAUGGGGUUAUCCGUAAGGAGAAGCUCUUGAUCGAAGCCCCGGUAAACGGCGGCCGUAACUAUAACGGUCCUAAGGUAGCGAAAUUCCUUGUCGGGUAAGUUCCGACCUGCACGAAUGGCGUAAUGAUGGCCAGGCUGUCUCCACCCGAGACUCAGUGAAAUUGAACUCGCUGUGAAGAUGCAGUGUACCCGCGGCAAGACGGAAAGACCCCGUGAACCUUUACUAUAGCUUGACACUGAACAUUGAGCCUUGAUGUGUAGGAUAGGUGGGAGGCUUUGAAGCGUGGACGCCAGUCUGCGUGGAGCCAACCUUGAAAUACCACCCUUUAAUGUUUGAUGUUCUAACGUUGGCCCCUGACCGGGGUUGCGGACAGUGUCUGGUGGGUAGUUUGACUGGGGCGGUCUCCUCCCAAAGCGUAACGGAGGAGCACGAAGGUUAGCUAAUCCUGGUCGGACAUCAGGAGGUUAGUGCAAUGGCAUAAGCUAGCUUGACUGCGAGCGUGACGGCGCGAGCAGGUGCGAAAGCAGGUCAUAGUGAUCCGGUGGUUCUGAAUGGAAGGGCCAUCGCUCAACGGAUAAAAGGUACUCCGGGGAUAACAGGCUGAUACCGCCCAAGAGUUCAUAUCGACGGCGGUGUUUGGCACCUCGAUGUCGGCUCAUCACAUCCUGGGGCUGAAGUAGGUCCCAAGGGUAUGGCUGUUCGCCAUUUAAAGUGGUACGCGAGCUGGGUUUAGAACGUCGUGAGACAGUUCGGUCCCUAUCUGCCGUGGGCGCUGGAGAAUUGAGGGGGGCUGCUCCUAGUACGAGAGGACCGGAGUGGACGCAUCACUGGUGUUCGGGUUGUCAUGCCAAUGGCACUGCCCGGUAGCUAAAUGCGGAAGAGAUAAGUGCUGAAAGCAUCUAAGCACGAAACUUGCCCCGAGAUGAGUUCUCCCUGAGACUUUAAGUCUCCUGAAGGAACGUUGAAGACGACGACGUUGAUAGGCCGGGUGUGUAAGCGCAGCGAUGCGUUGAGCUAACCGGUACUAAUGAACCGUGAGGCUUAACCUU